CUUUUGAUUGAAUUUGAUAAAAGGUGAUUUCUGCUCGAUGAUUUUUAAUGGCCGCGGUAAUUUGACCGUGCGAAGGUAGCAUAAUCAUUUGUUUCGUAAUUUGGGACUUGUAUGAAUGGAUUUACGAAAAUUUAGCUGUCUUAAAAAAAAAAUUGGAAUUUGUUUUUGUUGUGAAGAAACAAAAAUGUUGCAGAGGGACAAGAAGACCCUUUUGAUCUUUACUUUUUAUGGAUUACUAAUAAUUGUAUAGAAAGUUUGGUUGGGGUGACCAAGGAAGAGGAGAUCUUCCUUAUUUUAAUUAUUUUUGGUCCAGAAUUUUUGAUGAAAAGAAUAAGUUACCAAAGGGAUAACAGCGUAAUUUUUUUUGUGAGUUCUUAUUAAAAAAAAAGAUUGCGACCUCGAUGUUGACUUAUAUUUUUCUUUUGGUGCAGGUGCUGAAGGGAUAGGUCUGUUCGACCUUUAAAAUUUUACGUGA
Molecule: ribosomal RNA, 475 nt
Filed under: Nipponnemertes sp. Hoplo_CB024_CB150_18_01
Lineage: Eukaryota; Metazoa; Nemertea; Enopla; Monostilifera; Cratenemertidae
Description: partial 16S ribosomal RNA
Rfam family: Bacterial large subunit ribosomal RNA
Source: RNAcentral